GGGUGUAGCUCAAUGGUAGAGUUCUGGCCUUCCAAGCCAGCUGUGAGGGUUCGAUCCCCUUCACCCGCUCCA
Molecule: transfer RNA, 72 nt
Filed under: Clostridioides difficile
Lineage: Bacteria; Bacillati; Bacillota; Clostridia; Peptostreptococcales; Peptostreptococcaceae
Description: tRNA-Gly
Rfam family: tRNA
About the family: Transfer RNA (tRNA) molecules are approximately 80 nucleotides in length. Their secondary structure includes four short double-helical elements and three loops (D, anti-codon, and T loops).
Source: RNAcentral